GCGGGUCCCCGGCCCCGGAAUCUGUGUGACCACGACGGAGUCCUAUAAAUGCUGGCGCCGCUACUACCAUGUUUUCUGGUACUGCAGGACGCCCGGAUGCCCCAAACCUGAGGCUGACGCCGCCAGGACCGUGGGGGUGGGGGGCUCGGCUGUCUUCAUUUUUCAAUAAAGCUGUUGGUCUU
This is a long non-coding RNA of Phyllostomus discolor (pale spear-nosed bat), 182 nucleotides long. RefSeq lists it as uncharacterized. The record is from RefSeq and is a predicted model, not a curated record. NCBI's taxonomy places the organism in Eukaryota, Metazoa, Chordata, Mammalia, Chiroptera, Phyllostomidae. The transcript has 2 exons.